AACGCUAGCUACAGGCUUAACACAUGCAAGUCGAGGGGAAACGAUGAGAGAGCUUGCUCUCUUAGGCGUCGACCGGCGCACGGGUGAGUAACGCGUAUCCAACCUACCCAUUACAGGGGGAUAACCUUGCGAAAGUAAGACUAAUACCCCAUGGCAUUUUAUGGUGGCAUCAUUAUAGGAUUAAAGAUUUAUUGGUAAUGGAUGGGGAUGCGUCUGAUUAGCUUGUUGGCGGGGUAACGGCCCACCAAGGCAACGAUCAGUAGGGGUUCUGAGAGGAAGGUCCCCCACAUUGGAACUGAGACACGGUCCAAACUCCUACGGGAGGCAGCAGUGAGGAAUAUUGGUCAAUGGGCGAGAGCUUGAACCAGCCAAGUAGCGUGCAGGAUGACGGCCCUAUGGGUUGUAAACUGCUUUUAUAGGGGAAUAAAGUGAGCUACGUGUAGUUUAUUGCAUGUACCCUAUGAAUAAGGACCGGCUAAUUCCGUG
Molecule: ribosomal RNA, 486 nt
Filed under: uncultured bacterium
Lineage: Bacteria
Description: partial 16S ribosomal RNA
Rfam family: Bacterial small subunit ribosomal RNA
Source: RNAcentral